GUGCUGUGAGACUGGUCGAGUCGGCCUGCGCGGAAGAUGUAACGGGGCUAAACCAUGCACCGAAGCUGCGGCAGCGACGCUUAUGCGUUGUUGGGUAGGGGAGCGUUCUGUAAGCCUGUGAAGGUGUGCUGUGAGGCAUGCUGGAGGUAUCAGAAGUGCGAAUGCUGACAUAAGUAACGAUAAAGCGGGUGAAAAGCCCGCUCGCCGGAAGACCAAGGGUUCCUGUCCAACGUUAAUCGGGGCAGG
RNAcentral lists this ribosomal RNA (246 nucleotides) under Escherichia coli. RNAcentral's name for it is "partial 23S ribosomal RNA". It matches the Rfam family "Bacterial large subunit ribosomal RNA", at positions 1134 to 1378 of the family's 2925-position model. The record is from RNAcentral. Lineage: Bacteria; Pseudomonadati; Pseudomonadota; Gammaproteobacteria; Enterobacterales; Enterobacteriaceae.